Molecule: ribosomal RNA, 497 nt
Filed under: uncultured bacterium
Lineage: Bacteria
Description: partial 16S ribosomal RNA
Rfam family: Bacterial small subunit ribosomal RNA
Source: RNAcentral
GAUGAACGCUGGCGGCGUGCCUAAUACAUGCAAGUCGAGCGAACAGACGAGGAGCUUGCUCCUCUGACGUUAGCGGCGGACGGGUGAGUAACACGUGGAUAACCUACCUAUAAGACUGGGAUAACUUCGGGAAACCGGAGCUAAUACCGGAUAAUAUAUUGAACCGCAUGGUUCAAUAGUGAAAGACGGUUUUGCUGUCACUUAUAGAUGGAUCCGCGCCGCAUUAGCUAGUUGGUAAGGUAACGGCUUACCAAGGCGACGAUGCGUAGCCGACCUGAGAGGGUGAUCGGCCACACUGGAGCUGAGACACGGUCCAGACUCCUACGGGAGGCAGCAGUAGGGAAUCUUCCGCAAUGGGCGAAAGCCUGACGGAGCAACGCCGCGUGAGUGAUGAAGGUCUUCGGAUCGUAAAACCCUGUUAUUAGGGAAGAACAAAUGUGUAAGUAACUAUGCACGUCUUGACGGUACCUAAUCAGAAAGCCACGGCUAACUACGUG